UUUAACUGCGCGUUCAGUUACUUGACGUAGACCCGAAACCGGGCGACCUACCCACGCGCAGGAUGAAGCGAAAGUAAAAUUUCGUGGAGGUCCGAACCCACGAGCGUUGAAAAGCUCGGGGAUGACUGGUGGGUAGCGGUGAAAUUCCAAUCGAGCCCGGAGAUAGCUGGUUCUCCCCGAAAUAGCUUUAGGGCUAGCCUCAAGGUGAGAGAUACGGAGGUAGAGCACUG
Molecule: ribosomal RNA, 230 nt
Filed under: Clostridioides difficile
Lineage: Bacteria; Bacillati; Bacillota; Clostridia; Peptostreptococcales; Peptostreptococcaceae
Description: partial 23S ribosomal RNA
Rfam family: Bacterial large subunit ribosomal RNA
Source: RNAcentral